RNAcentral lists this ribosomal RNA (448 nucleotides) under Legionella sp. Its description in RNAcentral is "bacterial SSU rRNA". It matches the Rfam family "Bacterial small subunit ribosomal RNA", at positions 394 to 825 of the family's 1533-position model. The record is from RNAcentral. Lineage: Bacteria; Pseudomonadati; Pseudomonadota; Gammaproteobacteria; Legionellales; Legionellaceae.
AUGCCGCGUGUGUGAAGAAGGCCUGAGGGUUGUAAAGCACUUUCAGUGGGGAGGAGGAUAGCAUGGUUAAGAGCUGAGCUAUUGGACGUUACCUACCGAAGAAGCCCCGGCUAACUUCGUUCCAGCAGCCGCGGUAAUUCGGAGGGUGCGAGCGUUAAUUGGAAUUACUGGGCGUAAAGGGUGCGUAGGUGGUUAAAUAAGUUAGAUGUAAAAACCCUGGGCUUAACCUAGGACUGAGCUUUAAUACUGUUUAACUAGAGUAUGGGAGAGGGUAGUGGAAUUUCCGGUGUAGCGGUGAAAUGCGUAGAGAUUGGAAGGAACAUCCACGUGGCGAAGGCGGCUACCUGGCCUAAUACUGACACUGUAGGCAUCGAAAAGCGUGGGGAGCCAACACGGGUUAGAUAUCCCUGGUAGUGUCCCGCUGUAAAACGAUGUCUAGUAUACCUUG